Molecule: ribosomal RNA, 441 nt
Filed under: uncultured bacterium
Lineage: Bacteria
Description: bacterial SSU rRNA
Rfam family: Bacterial small subunit ribosomal RNA
Source: RNAcentral
AACGCGAAGAACCUUACCAACCUUUGACAUGGGGAUUUUGGUUACCAGAGAUGGUUUCCUUCAGUUCGGCUGGGUCCCACACAGGUGCUGCAUGGCUGUCGUCAGCUCGUGUCGUGAGAUGUUGGGUUAAGUCCCGCAACGAGCGCAACCCUCAUCUUCAGUUGCCAUCAUUAAGUUGGGCACUCUGAAGAAACUGCCGGUGACAAGCCGGAGGAAGGUGGGGAUGACGUCAAGUCCUCAUGGCCCUUACGGGUUGGGCUACACACGUGCUACAAUGGCGGUGACAAUGGGUCGCUAGCCCGCGAGGGUAAGCUAAUCUCAAAAAGCCGUCUCAGUUCGGAUUGCACUCUGCAACUCGAGUGCAUGAAGUCGGAAUCGCUAGUAAUCGUGGAUCAGCAUGCCACGGUGAAUACGUUCCCGGGCCUUGUACACACCGACAUA